Molecule: ribosomal RNA, 442 nt
Filed under: uncultured bacterium
Lineage: Bacteria
Description: bacterial SSU rRNA
Rfam family: Bacterial small subunit ribosomal RNA
Source: RNAcentral
AACGCGAAGAACCUUACCUGGGCUCGAAGCGCAGUGGACCGGGGUAGAAAUAUCCCUUCCCCUUAAAAGGCUGCUGCGGAGGUGCUGCAUGGCUGUCGUCAGCUCGUGUCGUGAGAUGUUGGGUUAAGUCCCGCAACGAGCGCAACCCUUAUCCCUAGUUGCCAUCGGGUCAAGCCGGGCACUCUAGUGAAACUGCCUCGGAUAACGAGGAGGAAGGUGGGGAUGACGUCAAGUCCUCAUGGCCUUUAUGUCCAGGGCUACACACGUGCUACAAUGGUCGGUACAAACCGUCGCAAACCCGUGAGGGGGAGCUAAUCGGAAAAAGCCGGCCCCAGUUCAGAUUGUCGUCUGCAACUCGACGGCAUGAAGCUGGAAUCGCUAGUAAUGGCGCAUCAGCUACGGCGCCGUGAAUACGUUCCCGGGCCUUGUACACACCGAUAGC